Molecule: long non-coding RNA, 1974 nt
Organism: Struthio camelus australis
Lineage: Eukaryota; Metazoa; Chordata; Aves; Struthioniformes; Struthionidae
Source: Ensembl
CUUUUUUGUGUUGCUGAAGGAGCUUGUAAAAUACUCGACAGUUCAUAGAUUUUUUGAACUGCAGCCCAUAAACAUGGCAGAACCAAUUUGGAGCUAAUUUUACAGUGACACAGGUUGCCAGAAAGGACCGUUAAUUAAAGAAAUCUUUGCUCUGUCGCCUACAGUAAUACUGAUUAAAGGAUUUCCCUUCUAGAUCUUUCAGAUGUAUGCUGUGUAUGAACUUGCAUGAUCUAAAACAGAGGUAAGGAAAAGACUUGAGGUUUUUGAAGAGGAGAGGAGGUAUGUUUUUCACCUUUUUGAAAAUGCUCUGAGCUAAGAACCAAAUUUAAACUUGGCAUAGGCGGGUAGCUUGUUAAAGCCUGGACUGAAGCAGGAGCCACACUAGUGCACAUAUUAGUAGUUAUUCCUGAGAGUAUUUGAGAAGUCAAACUGUGAGGCGACAGUCUGAGCAGUAGCCUUUUCCUGGUGAGACUUGGAGCAGUGACAUUAGGCGCGUAUUAAGGGAGACUGCGGCUGUUGUUUUUUGGGUUAUAAAUCAGUAAGUAAUAUGGCAAGCACAUACCUUACUUUUAUACUAACUAAUAUUAACGCUUUUCUCUGAUUUAUGUAGUGGAAAGCUUUUUUCUUCAAACCUGACCAAAGGUGCAGUUUCAAGUGAGGAACUGUUCUAAACCAGUUGCAGUGAGCAGUUUGAGCCCAGAAUUAUGAGAGACGUUCAUAGGGAACUUGACAAGGAAUAUCAGCCUCAUUUUAGAAGAAAUGAAAUGGAAAACAUAAUUUCAGGAUAAUCUCUGUAUUCACAUGAUUAUAAUAGUCACAUGCAAGUCUAUGCAUUGGGAUCCCUGCAAUCAAGCUAACGAGCUCACCGGAGGUUUGUGGUGUUACCAGGGCACUUUCGGUCGGAGUUGCUCUGCGCUCCCCUCCUGCAGCUCCUCCAGGCACCAGAAGCUCCAGAGAAGGGGUAAUGGCCAGCUGAGGUGAUUCAGAGCCAGUUUGGAGGACGCCAUAACAAGUGACUGUCUGAGGUUUGUGUUCUCGCAGGAGGGGAUGGAUGGCGCUAGCACAGCGGCCGAGAGAGUUGCACUUGCCUUUCCGAAUGGGUAGGUGGUGGUAAGUAGGACGCUCUGCCGUCCACACCUGGAUGCGGAUGAAAUCCUCCCAUCUCAGCCAGCCUUUCGGUGCCACUGCAUGCUGUUGAAAUUUUGAGGCAUCUGUAUCCUGCUUAGGAAGGGGUUUAUCUCAGCCAUGGGUGAAUUAACUGCUAUGUUGAUUAGAUUUGCAAAAUCUUUCGGGAUGAAAGUAUUAAGUAAAUACAAAAUGAUUAAAAUCCAACUCUGACUGAUUGUACCAUCAAACUGAAAAUGCAGUUCUCCUGUGUGUUUUCUCUUCUGGUUGAGAAAUCAGUGAGCUUAGGAAAACUGUGGAGUAGAAGUCAGUAAGAUGAUGAUUAUACUCGCUUUUUUGUUUCUUAAGUGACUACGUGUAAGACCUGGACAAAUUCUGCAAUGAGUGGACGACCAAGGACUGUGUCCUUUAACUGGGAUGUCCACCACAUAAAAAGUAAAUCGUCUCCAACAUUAGAAACCUAUAUUUCAACACUAAUUAAAAAUAGUGCAUUAGCACUUCACUUAUUUGCAAACUGUACGUAAGCUCCCAGGAUAAACGUGGAGUUUCUCCUGUGAGAAGUGAUGGGUCCCCCGGGAGAUCUUUUCCCCGUGUCCAUUGGUCAUGGCAGUGAGUCCUUGAUUAGCCGCUGACAUAAGAAAUUAUGGGGGUCACCGAGGUUAAUGAAAGGCUUCUUUAUAUAGCCAUGCCCAUGCACUGUCUCCCUCCGUCCUCUUCGGCACUGGGUAGUAUGGUGACCUCAGUGACAAAGUCAAGAGAGAAAAUAUGCAACACGAUAUCAGUACAUGCUAAUCAGCGGUUCUCUGCUAAUAUCUAAUUAUUUAAUAAAGGGGCAAUGAGUUAUUUGCA